AUUGAACGCUGGCGGCAGGCCUAACACAUGCAAGUCGAGCGCGCGGCGGACGGGUGAGUAAUGUAUGGGGAUCUGCCCGAUAGAGGGGGAUAACUACUGGAAACGGUGGCUAAUACCGCAUACUAUCAGAUGAACCCAUAUGGGAUUAGCUAGUAGGUGGGGUAAAGGCUCACCAAGGCGACGAUCUCUAGCUGGUCUGCGAGGAUGAUCAGCCACACUGUGAUGGAGACACGGUCCAGACUCCUACGGGAGGCAGCAGUGGGGAAUAUUGCACAAUGGGCGCAAGCCUGAUGCAGCCAUGCCGCGUGUAUGAAGAAGGCCUUAGGGUUGGAAAGUACUUUCAGCGGGGAGGCGUUACCCGCAGAAGAAGCACCGGCUAACUCCGUGGCAGCAGCCGCGGUAAUAC
This 406-nucleotide ribosomal RNA is filed under the name uncultured bacterium. RNAcentral's name for it is "partial 16S ribosomal RNA". It matches the Rfam family "Bacterial small subunit ribosomal RNA", at positions 30 to 526 of the family's 1533-position model. The record is from RNAcentral.